GGUUGACCUCGGAUCGGGUAGGGA
RNAcentral lists this ribosomal RNA (24 nucleotides) under Leohumicola verrucosa. Its description in RNAcentral is "partial 28S ribosomal RNA". RNAcentral also lists the same sequence under 1 other name. Lineage: Eukaryota; Fungi; Ascomycota; Leotiomycetes. The record is from RNAcentral.